UACAGAGGUCUCAAGCGUUGUUCGGAUUCAUUGGGCGUAAGGGCGCGUAGGCUGCGGGGCAAGUCGGGUGUGAAAUCUCAGAGCUCAACUCUGAAACUGCACUCGAUACUGCUUUGCUCGAGGACUGGAGAGGAGAUUGGAAUUCACGGUGUAGCAGUGAAAUGCGUAGAUAUCGUGAGGAAGACCAGUGGCGAAGGCGGAUCUCUGGACAGUUCCUGACGCUGAGGCGCGAAGGCCAGGGGAGCAAACGGG
This 252-nucleotide ribosomal RNA is filed under the name uncultured bacterium. RNAcentral describes it as "partial 16S ribosomal RNA". It matches the Rfam family "Bacterial small subunit ribosomal RNA", at positions 524 to 776 of the family's 1533-position model. The record is from RNAcentral.